Molecule: ribosomal RNA, 594 nt
Filed under: Thermoascus aurantiacus
Lineage: Eukaryota; Fungi; Ascomycota; Eurotiomycetes; Eurotiales; Thermoascaceae
Description: eukaryotic LSU rRNA
Rfam family: Eukaryotic large subunit ribosomal RNA
Source: RNAcentral
CAUAUCAAUAAGCGGAGGAAAAGAAACCAACAGGGAUUGCCCCAGUAACGGCGAGUGAAGCGGCAAGAGCUCAAAUUUGAAAUCUGGCCCCGUCGGGGUCCGAGUUGUAAUUUGCAGAGGAUGCUUCGGGUGCGGCCCCCGUCUAAGUGCCCUGGAACGGGCCGCCGGAGAGGGUGAGAGUCCCGUCUGGGACGGGUGGCCGCGUCCGUGUGAAGCUCCUUCGACGAGUCGAGUUGUUUGGGAAUGCAGCUCUAAAUGGGUGGUAAAUUUCAUCUAAAGCUAAAUAUUGGCCGGAGACCGAUAGCGCACAAGUAGAGUGAUCGAAAGAUGAAAAGCACUUUGAAAAGAGAGUUAAAUAGCACGUGAAAUUGUUGAAAGGGAAGCGCUUGCGACCAGACUCGCCCGCGGGGGUUCAGCCGGCACUCGUGCCGGUGCACUCCCCCGCGGGCGGGCCAGCGUCGGUUUGGGCGGUCGGUCAAAGGCCCCCGGAAUGUGUCGCCCCUCGGGGCGUCUUAUAGCCGGGGGUGCAAUGCGGCCAGCCCGGACCGAGGACCGCGCUUCGGCAUGGACGCUGGCGUAAUGGUCGUAAGCGAC